This 538-nucleotide ribosomal RNA is filed under the name uncultured bacterium. RNAcentral describes it as "bacterial SSU rRNA". It matches the Rfam family "Bacterial small subunit ribosomal RNA", at positions 359 to 917 of the family's 1533-position model. The record is from RNAcentral.
GGAUUGGAAAUGGGCGGAGCCUGAUCCAGCAAAUGCCGCGUGGGUGAAGAAGGUCUUCGGAUUGUAAAGCCCUUUCGGCGGGGACGAUGAUAACGGUACCCGCAGAAGAAGCCCCGGCUAACUUCGUGCCAGCAGCCGCGGUAAUACGAAGGGGGCUAGCGUUGCUCGGAAUGACUGGGCGUAAAGGGCGCGUAGGCGGCGGACAUAGUCAGGCGUGAAAUUCCUGGGCUUAACCUGGGGGCUGCGUUUGAUACGUGUUUGCUUGAGUUUGGAAGAGGGUCGUGGAAUUCCCAGUGUAGAGGUGAAAUUCGUAGAUAUUGGGAAGAACACCGGUGGCGAAGGCGGCGACCUGGUCCGAUACUGACGCUGAGGCGCGAAAGCGUGGGGAGCAAACAGGAUUAGAUACCCUGGUAGUCCACGCUGUAAACGAUGUGUGCUGGAUGUUGGGCGACCUAGUCGCUCAGUGUCGAAGCUAACGCGCUAAGCACACCGCCUGGGGAGUACGGCCGCAAGGUUGAAACUCAAAAGAAUUGACGGA